Molecule: long non-coding RNA, 211 nt
Organism: Ceratosolen solmsi marchali
Lineage: Eukaryota; Metazoa; Arthropoda; Insecta; Hymenoptera; Agaonidae
Exons: 4
Source: RefSeq, a predicted model, not a curated record
UUAGGUCUUGCUAACGAUGAUAUAGAUGUUUGUAAGCACUCAUGUAUAAAAAAAUUUUCUUCCAGCCAAAACUUUAAAGGACGACCUAGUUGUAUUUCAGGAUGUAGAAGAAUUUUAGAUGUUUGCAGAAAAGGAUGUAUCGAUGAUUGUAUAAAAAGAUAUCCAUAUAAACUUACCAAGAAAGAAAGAGAAGCAACUAGAUCAGAUGUUC